CUCAACGAUGGUUCAAUGAACCUGGUAAGUUUUGUUAUCUCUAACAAUAAAUGCCUGUUUCCUUUUCAAAUCGAGCAGAGUUCUCUGUAACCCAUGUUUUCCUUUCGUCUAUUAUUUAUCAUCUUGGUCUUUUUGAAUUUUCCAAAUUCCUACUAAUGAGACCUUACAGUGUCCUUGUAAAGUAUCUCUCCCACCCUCCCCCGCCACAAACGGCGGGUAUAAGUUCCAAGCGCCACCACCAGAAAGACUGAGCAUGUCUACCGAGCCCGUAGUAGGGAUCAGUGCCUUCUGCUUUAGUCUCUGGUCUGGUGGAGUGUCGCAAUGUGCAUUGGUAAGUUUAGUCCCAUGAACGUGCACCUUUUCCUUUGGCUUCUUCGUUAGUAUGUGAGAGCGUUGCCACCUUUUCUUUGCAGGACAUAAAAGCAGUUUGUUGCGAAUGAAGCGCGUCGUGGUGAUGAAACUGGCAAACGUGGUUUUCAAACCGGCCAACGAUCAAAACCUAAGGCGGAGAAUCUGAAAAGUGUGUGUCAUGUCCAGCAGAUUGCUGUCUUUCGAUGAAGACUACGUGUUGCAUUUCCAGGUGUGUUUGUGUGGCGAGAGGGAAUCGAUAUCAUCUUGUCCUUGACGAUCUGGUGUUACACUUUGAACUCGUUGGCCGGUGCAGUUCCACAUAAACAAGAUGCAUUGAUUACUGCUGCUGCAUUUUAUGAAUCAUUUAAGGCCUUCACUUCCAUGAUCAGUUUAAGGAUUCGGUCCGACAAAGCCGAACUAGCACGCAAUGCCUGAGUCGCCAUCAUGUUCUUCAUCUUUUCCUCCAUU
Molecule: long non-coding RNA, 819 nt
Organism: Daphnia carinata
Lineage: Eukaryota; Metazoa; Arthropoda; Branchiopoda; Diplostraca; Daphniidae
Exons: 4
Source: RefSeq, a predicted model, not a curated record